GCCGCACUCCCGCCGCUCCGCUGACCGGACCCGCCGCCGCCGAGAGCUUUCCCAGCCUGAAGUUGCACACCAUGGUGCUGGCAGCCAAGGACCCGGAGGUGAAAGCAAUUGCAAGCCCGAAAGGGACGGCCUUCUCUUUCGUUCUCAGAAAACACGCAUGAGUAAAGACCAAAACCAGUAGAACGGAAAAGAUAUGUCAAUGUGUUAUUUCUGCUCAAACAUUCUCCAAUGUCAGCAACAAAACAAAAUUUGCUUUUGAGGGAUCAACACCAUACCUGUACAUGUUGCACAUUAAAGGCCAGGUGAGGCACUGGCAAAAGAUCUCUUCUUUCCUCCUGCACAGCACAGGCUGGACGGCGUCUUUUUGAAAUAACAGAGAACUACAAUUCCAUUAA
Molecule: long non-coding RNA, 395 nt
Organism: Tyto alba (common barn owl)
Lineage: Eukaryota; Metazoa; Chordata; Aves; Strigiformes; Tytonidae
Exons: 2
Source: RefSeq, a predicted model, not a curated record